RNAcentral lists this transfer RNA (74 nucleotides) under Bacteroidota bacterium. RNAcentral's name for it is "Bacteroidetes bacterium (activated sludge metagenome) tRNA-His". It matches the Rfam family "tRNA". Rfam says of the family: Transfer RNA (tRNA) molecules are approximately 80 nucleotides in length. The record is from RNAcentral. Lineage: Bacteria; Pseudomonadati; Bacteroidota.
GUGGCCAUAGCUCAGUUGGUUAGAGUAACGGAUUGUGGUUCCGUGGGUCGUGGGUUCGAACCCCAUUGGCCACC